GCGGCCUCGGCGGCGGCGGCGCACGCCCCUGGCCCAAGAGCGGGCGGACGGGGGAGGGGGCGGCAAGCGGAGAGGCCGCGAGGCCGGAAGAGAGGUCGCGGCUCAGGGGAGCUUGCCGGCAGAGCGUGCGGCGAAGCCGGCUCAGGGGGACCGGAAACAAUGCCGCACCACGUCCGUAGGGAAAUUCCUUCCCUUCCCUUCAAGUCUCCGCGGACUCUGGCGGGCGUGGGCUGCCUGCAGCUCCAGCUCUGGUGGGACAAGAACCUUCGAGGGGAAAGCACGGGCACACCAGGAAAAGGGACCACACAUUAAAGACUGGAAAUUAGGUAAUUCAUAAAAAAAACCCAGUAAAAACACCAAAGUAGUACAAAGUAGAUACACUAAAGUAUGUUUGCAGAAGAACUAGUUCUAAAUAAUCAAGGCUGGAAUAAUCAAGGUUUUGAAGAUCUGACUGGAAAAAAAAAAACAGUCUUUUCAUACAAGUUUGUUGUUCAUCAAGGAAUGAGCUUCCUUCUAAUCCUUUAUGAUUGAUAAGUAACCAAAUUGACUUCAAUGGAUCAUGAAUUCUCAAGAUGUUGAAAUGUCAUUAAUUUUCUCAAGACAUCUUCUCUUAUCAGCUCUCUUUAGAUUUUUUAAAAGUGGGUAAUGGAGACCUCUGAAACACUUCCUUACUGAUUACAAACUAAAUGCUCCUAGGGGACUGAAAAUCAAACCUAACAACAAGACAGAGCCAAGUAACCCUCCUGCUGAACUCAACAUAAAAAGUACACCCCCCAGAGCCAGAAUUCAAGAACACUCGGGUUUAAGGGGAAGGAAGAAGGAAGGUCCCUGGAACUCUCCUCCACCUAGAGCGCUAAGCCUCCAGCGGCAGCUGGAAACUCUGGGCGGGAAAAGGCACUGGUCUGGAGGGAGUACCUUGGGGGCAAAGCUGUGCCAGGCUCAUAGUGUCCAGCAAAGGAAGUAGGGAGGCAGAUAGAGGAGAAACGCAGAGCAGAGAGCUGGAGGCAUAGUUGCAGAAGCAGAGACACUCUAUAUUGUCCCCCACUUCCCGAGGUUUUGGACUCAGGGCACAUCCAGCAAUGGAGCCAGACUUAAUCCCAUCAAAGCUUUCAUAGGGCAGGGAAGCUCAAGCUCCAACACCCCUUCCCCACAGACUGAACUGAGAGAUUUACUGACAAAACUCCAAGGGUGAAGGCUGAAAGAAAAGCCCAAAACCACAGAGAGAGAGAGAGAGAGAGAGAGAGAGAGAGAGAGAGAGAGAGAGA
This 1265-nucleotide long non-coding RNA is filed under the name Monodelphis domestica (gray short-tailed opossum). RNAcentral describes it as "lncRNA (ENSMODG00000047841.1)". Lineage: Eukaryota; Metazoa; Chordata; Mammalia; Didelphimorphia; Didelphidae. The record is from RNAcentral.